GAUGAACGCUGGCGGCGCGCCUAACACAUGCAAGUCGAACGAUUAAAGCACCUUCGGGUGUGUAUAAAGUGGCGAACGGCUGAGUAACACGUGGGCAACCUGCCCCUCUCAUUGGGAUAGCCACGGGAAACCGUGGAUAAUACCGAAUACUUCGGGACUUCCGCAUGGAAGACUCGAGAAAGCUCCGGCGGAGAGGGAUGGGCCCGCGGCCUGUUAGCUUGUUGGUGGGGUAAUGGCCUACCAAGGCAAUGAUGGGUAGCUGGGUUGAGAGACCGACCAGCCAGUUGGGGAAUGGGACACGGCCCAGACCCCUAGGGGAGGGAGGGGGGGGGAAUUUUGACAAAGGGGGGAAAGCCUGAGGCGGGGCCGCCGGGGGGGGGAGGAAGGCCUUGGGGUGGUAAACCGCUUUCACGGGGGACGGGGGGAAAGGGACGGUACCGGCAGAAGAACCCCCGGCAAACUACGG
Molecule: ribosomal RNA, 466 nt
Filed under: uncultured bacterium
Lineage: Bacteria
Description: partial 16S ribosomal RNA
Rfam family: Bacterial small subunit ribosomal RNA
Source: RNAcentral